RNAcentral lists this ribosomal RNA (35 nucleotides) under Eremospatha wendlandiana. RNAcentral describes it as "partial 26S ribosomal RNA". The record is from RNAcentral. Lineage: Eukaryota; Viridiplantae; Streptophyta; Magnoliopsida; Arecales; Arecaceae.
GCGACCCCAGGUCAGGCGGGACAUKGAUCGAGUUA